This 378-nucleotide ribosomal RNA is filed under the name uncultured bacterium. Its description in RNAcentral is "bacterial SSU rRNA". It matches the Rfam family "Bacterial small subunit ribosomal RNA", at positions 28 to 407 of the family's 1533-position model. The record is from RNAcentral.
GACGAACGCUGGCGGCGUGCUUAACACAUGCAAGUCGAGCGGUAAGGCCCUUUCGGGGGUACACGAGCGGCGAACGGGUGAGUAACACGUGGGUGACCUGCCCUUAGCUCUGGGAUAAGCCUGGGAAACUGGGUCUAAUACCGGAUAUGACUCCAUGACGCAUGUUGUGGGGUGGAAAGCCUUGUGCGGCUAGGGAUGGGCCCGCGGCCUAUCAGCUUGUUGGUGAGGUAACGGCUCACCAAGGCUUCGACGGGUAGCUGGUCUGAGAGGACGAUCAGCCGCACUGGCACUGCGACACGGGCCAGACUCCUACGGGAGGCAGCAGUAAGGAAUAUUGCGCAAUGGGCGAAAGCCUGACGCAGCGACGCCGCGUGGGGA